RNAcentral lists this ribosomal RNA (253 nucleotides) under uncultured bacterium. RNAcentral's name for it is "partial 16S ribosomal RNA". It matches the Rfam family "Bacterial small subunit ribosomal RNA", at positions 524 to 776 of the family's 1533-position model. The record is from RNAcentral.
UACGUAGGGGGCAAGCGUUGUUCGGAUUCAUUGGGCGUAAAGAGCGUGUAGGCGGCCAGGUAGGUCGGUUGUGAAAACUGGAGGCUCAACCUUCAGAGGUCGACCGAAACCAUCUGGCUAGAGUCCGGGAGAGGAGAGUGGAAUUCCUGGUGUAGCGGUGAAAUGCGCAGAUAUCAGGAAGAACACCCGUGGCGAAAGCGGCUCUCUGGAACGGUACUGACGCUGAGACGCGAAAGCGUGGGGAGCGAACAGG